Non-coding RNA from Cordylochernes scorpioides, 73 nucleotides. The record is from the annotation of a GenBank genome assembly. Lineage: Eukaryota; Metazoa; Arthropoda; Arachnida; Pseudoscorpiones; Chernetidae.
ACUAGGGUAAUCUAGUGGACAUAGUAUCUGCCCGGUAAGCAGGACACUGUGGGUUCGAUUCCCACCCCUGGAU